GCUCAUGUUGUCUCUUAGUCCAGUUUGC
RNAcentral lists this small RNA (28 nucleotides) under Bombyx mori (domestic silkworm). RNAcentral's name for it is "ovarian small RNA-5396". The record is from RNAcentral. Lineage: Eukaryota; Metazoa; Arthropoda; Insecta; Lepidoptera; Bombycidae.